This 506-nucleotide ribosomal RNA is filed under the name uncultured Desulfobulbus sp. Its description in RNAcentral is "bacterial SSU rRNA". It matches the Rfam family "Bacterial small subunit ribosomal RNA", at positions 903 to 1382 of the family's 1533-position model. The record is from RNAcentral. Lineage: Bacteria; Pseudomonadati; Thermodesulfobacteriota; Desulfobulbia; Desulfobulbales; Desulfobulbaceae.
UGCGCCUUGCCAGCCCGCUCAGAAACUUAAAGGAAUUGACGGGGGCCCGCACAAGCGGAGGAGCAUGUGGUUUAAUUCGAUGAUACGCGAGGAACCUUACCUGGGCUCGAACGUAAGAUGACUGUAGGUGAAAGCUUACAUCUCUUCGGAGCAUUUUACGAGGUGCUGCAUGGUUGUCGUCAGCUCGUGCCGUGAGGUGUCGGGUUAAGUCCCAUAACGAGCGCAACCCUUGCCUUUAGUUGCCAGCAGUUCGGCUGGGCACUCUAAAGGGACUGCCGGUGUUAAACCGGAGGAAGGUGGGGAUGACGUCAAGUCCUCAUGGCCUUUAUGACCAGGGCUACACACGUACUACAAUGGCCGAUACAAAGGGCAGCGACACUGCGAGGUGAAGCCAAUCCCGUAAAAUCGGUCUCAGUCCGGAUUGGAGUCUGCAACUCGACUCCAUGAAGUUGGAAUCGCUAGUAAUCGUGGAUCAGCAUGCCACGGUGAAUACGUUCCCGGGCCUU